Molecule: ribosomal RNA, 453 nt
Filed under: uncultured bacterium
Lineage: Bacteria
Description: bacterial SSU rRNA
Rfam family: Bacterial small subunit ribosomal RNA
Source: RNAcentral
UACGGAAGGCAGCAGUGGGGAAUAUUGCGCAAUGGGCGCAAGCCUGAUGCAGCCAUGCCGCGUGUAUGAAGAAGGCCUUCGGGUUGUAAAGUACUUUCAGUCGUGAGGAAGGUGUUAAGGUUAAUAACCUUAGCAAUUGACGUUAGCGACAGAAGAAGCACCGGCUAACUCCGUGCCAGCAGCCGCGGUAAUACGGAGGGUGCGAGCGUUAAUCGGAAUUACUGGGCGUAAAGGGCACGCAGGCGGUUAAUUAAGUUGGAUGUGAAAUCCCCGGGCUUAACCUGGGAAUGGCAUUCAAGACUGGUUAGCUAGAGUCUUGUAGAGGGGGUAGAAUUCCAUGUGUAGCGGUGAAAUGCGUAGAGAUGUGGAGGAAUACCGGUGGCGAAGGCGGCCCCUGGACAAAGACUGACGCUCAUGUGCGAAAGCGUGGGGAGCAAACAGGGAUUAGAUACC